AGUGCAGAUACGGGGCUAUGUACGUGGAACACAAAGAGGUGCAUGCAGAUACGUACAUCCAAACACGCACAUACGCACGCAUGUACAUAUGUACAUACGCAGAGGUGGUGGUGGUGGCGGAACAGGAUGGACUGGACGGUGUUAUCUAACCCGAGGAUGUGCCCGCCCAGGCCAGCCACUGGACAUCCGGACACUCGUGCGGGAAUGCUUUUGGGGGACAGCGGAUUCACUCGAUUCGAUUUACUUGGGCAAGCGCCUGGAAUUCGCCUUCACCGACGAUCCGAUCCGAUCCAAUGUGAUGCGAUCCGAUGCACUUGUGCUGGGCAGAGCCAACGGAAACGUCCUUUGUAGAAUUGUGUUUACUUUUGGGGGCUUCGACUCCUGCUGCCCGAUGUGGGUGAA
Molecule: non-coding RNA, 402 nt
Organism: Drosophila melanogaster (fruit fly)
Lineage: Eukaryota; Metazoa; Arthropoda; Insecta; Diptera; Drosophilidae
Source: Ensembl